UGCUUGGGAAUAUGCCUUUAGGUGGGGGACAACAGUUGGAAACGACUGCUAAUACCGCAUAACGUCUACGGACCAAAGUGGGGGACCUUCGGGCCUCACGCCUAAAGAUUAGCCCAAGUGGGAUUAGCUAGUUGGUUGAGGUAAAGGCUCACCAAGGCAACGAUCCCUAGCCGGUUUGAGAGGAUGAUCAGCCACACUGGAACUGAGACACGGUCCAGACUCCUACGGGAGGCAGCAGUGGGGAAUAUUGGUCAAUGGAGGCAACUCUGAACCAGCCAUGCCGCGUGCAGGAAGACGGCC
This 300-nucleotide ribosomal RNA is filed under the name uncultured Pseudoalteromonas sp. Its description in RNAcentral is "bacterial SSU rRNA". It matches the Rfam family "Bacterial small subunit ribosomal RNA", at positions 114 to 416 of the family's 1533-position model. The record is from RNAcentral. Lineage: Bacteria; Pseudomonadati; Pseudomonadota; Gammaproteobacteria; Alteromonadales; Pseudoalteromonadaceae.